RNAcentral lists this ribosomal RNA (710 nucleotides) under uncultured bacterium. RNAcentral's name for it is "bacterial SSU rRNA". It matches the Rfam family "Bacterial small subunit ribosomal RNA", at positions 104 to 810 of the family's 1533-position model. The record is from RNAcentral.
GGGUGAGUAACACGUAUGUAACCUGCCCUCUGCAGGGGGAUAAGCGGAAGAAAUUCCGUCUAAUACCGCAUAAUACAAUUUGGAGACAUCUCCGGGUUGUCAAAGGAGUGAUCCGGCAGAGGAUGGACAUGCGGCGCAUUAGCUAGUCGGCGGGGUAACGGCCCACCGAGGCUACGAUGCGUAGGGGUUCUGAGAGGAAGGUCCCCCACACUGGUACUGAGACACGGACCAGACUCCUACGGGAGGCAGCAGUGAGGAAUAUUGGUCAAUGGGCGGAAGCCUGAACCAGCCAAGUCGCGUGAGGGAAGACGGUCCUAUGGAUUGUAAACCUCUUUUGCAGGGGAGCAAGGCGCGGUACGUGUACCGCGAAGGAGAGUACCCUGAGAAAAAGCAUCGGCUAACUCCGUGCCAGCAGCCGCGGUAAUACGGAGGAUGCGAGCGUUAUCCGGAUUUAUUGGGUUUAAAGGGUGCGCAGGCGGACUGUUAAGUCAGCGGUAAAAUGUCGGUGCUCAACACCGGCCGGCCGUUGAAACUGGCAGCCUUGAGUGAGCGAGAAGUAUGCGGAAUGCGUGGUGUAGCGGUGAAAUGCAUAGAUAUCACGCAGAACUCCGAUUGCGAAGGCAGCAUACCGGCGCUCAACUGACGCUCAUGCACGAAAGCGUGGGUAUCGAACAGGAUUAGAUACCCUGGUAGUCCACGCAGUAAACGAU